CCCAGGAGGCAAGAACCCAGGAAAGAGUCAGCUGGUGUAUACCAUCUCCUUUCUUGUCUUAACUGUCUCUUGCUGCCAUCCUCCCAAACUUCUACAAUGGCUGUCCUUCAACGCUGGUUCUCUUUUCUGGUCCUUUCCUGCUGUGUGGCUUUAUUGCUGCCACCAAAUGUACAGGCCAUAAAGAAGCCAGUUUAUCCUGGAAAGGAUGCUACCCCAGAGCAGUUGGAACAGUUUCUGAAAGACCUGCAAUUAUAUUUGAACCAAUUAACUCGUCAAAGGUAUGGGAAGAGAGCAGAGGACGAGAGAUUCUAUGAAGAUGGGGUAGAUUUCUUGGAGUAGGUGGUUCUGCUGCAGCAAUCCAGGACAUCCCAUCAGCUAAGUUUUCACUGCUUCUGCUUCAUUAUCCUUUCCCUGUUUCCAGAAGCCUGCAGAGAGUCCUGGCUCCAACUCUGUAACUCUUGCAAAAAGUGAAUUAAAAAAUAUUAAAAAUAA
This is a long non-coding RNA of Antechinus flavipes (yellow-footed antechinus), 492 nucleotides long. RefSeq lists it as uncharacterized. The transcript is spliced from 4 exons. NCBI's taxonomy places the organism in Eukaryota, Metazoa, Chordata, Mammalia, Dasyuromorphia, Dasyuridae. The record is from RefSeq and is a predicted model, not a curated record.